ACGGAAGGCAGCAGUGGGGAAUAUUGCACAAUGGGGGAAACCCUGAUGCAGCGACGCCGCGUGAGUGAAGAAGUAUUUCGGUAUGUAAAGCUCUAUCAGCAGGAAAGAAAAUGACGGUACCUGACUAAGAAGCCCCGGCUAACUACGUGCCAGCAGCCGCGGUAAUACGUAGGGGGCAAGCGUUAUCCGGAUUUACUGGGUGUAAAGGGAGCGUAGACGGCUUUGCAAGUCUGAAGUGAAAGCCCGGGGCUCAACCCCGGAACUGCUUUGGAAACUGUAGAGCUAGAGUGCAGGAGAGGUAGGUGGAAUUCCUAGUGUAGCGGUGAAAUGCGUAGAUAUUAGGAGGAACACCAGUGGCGAAGGCGGCUUACUGGACUGUAACUGACGUUGAGGCUCGAAGGCGUGGGGAGCAAACAGGAUUAGAUACCCUGGUA
Molecule: ribosomal RNA, 434 nt
Filed under: uncultured Lachnospiraceae bacterium
Lineage: Bacteria; Bacillati; Bacillota; Clostridia; Lachnospirales; Lachnospiraceae
Description: partial 16S ribosomal RNA
Rfam family: Bacterial small subunit ribosomal RNA
Source: RNAcentral